CCUACGGGAGGCAGCAGUAAGGAAUAUUGGUCAAUGGGCGCAAGCCUGAACCAGCCAUGCCGCGUGCAGGAAGACGGCCCUAUGGGUUGUAAACUGCUUUUGUCAGGGAAUAAACCCCCGCUCGUGAGCGGGGCUGAAGGUACCUGAAGAAUAAGCACCGGCUAACUCCGUGCCAGCAGCCGCGGUAAUACGGAGGGUGCAAGCGUUAAUCGGAAUUACUGGGCGUAAAGCGCGCGUAGGCGGCUUAUUAAGUCGGAUGUGAAAUCCCCGGGCUCAACCUGGGAAUGGCCUCCGAGACUGGUAAGCCAGAGUGCAAGAGAGGGUGGUGGAAUUUCUAGUGUAGCGGUGAAAUGUGUAGAUAUCAGAAGGAACAUCAGUGGCGAAGGCGACCACCUGGCUUGACACUGACGCUGAGGUGCGAAAGCAUGGGGAGCAAACAGGAUUAGAUACCCUGGUAGUCCAUGCCGUAAACGAUGUCUACUAGCCGUUGGGACCCUUGAGGUUUUAGUGGCGCAGUUAACGUGAUAAGUAGACCGCCUGGGGAGUACGGCCGCAAGGUUAAAACUCAAAUGAAUUGACGGGAAGU
RNAcentral lists this ribosomal RNA (586 nucleotides) under uncultured bacterium. Its description in RNAcentral is "bacterial SSU rRNA". It matches the Rfam family "Bacterial small subunit ribosomal RNA", at positions 338 to 921 of the family's 1533-position model. The record is from RNAcentral.